Molecule: ribosomal RNA, 445 nt
Filed under: uncultured soil bacterium
Lineage: Bacteria
Description: bacterial SSU rRNA
Rfam family: Bacterial small subunit ribosomal RNA
Source: RNAcentral
AGAACGAACGCUGGCGGCAUGCCUAACACAUGCAAGUCGAACGGGCACCUUCGGGUGCUAGUGGCGCACGGGUGCGUAACGCGUGGGGAUCUGCCCUUAGGUACGGAAUAACUCAGGGAAACUUGAGCUAAUACCGUAUAAUGACUUCGGUCCAAAGAUUUAUCGCCUAGGGAUGAACCCGCGUAGGAUUAGCUUGUUGGUGAGGUAAAGGCUCACCAAGGCGACGAUCCUUAGCUGGUCUGAGAGGAUGAUCAGCCACACUGGGACUGAGACACGGCCCAGACUCCUACGGGAGCAGCAGUGGGAAUAUGGACAAUGGGACGAAAGCCUGAUCCAGCAAUGCCGCGUGAGUGAGUGAAGGUCCGUUAAGGGUUGUAAAGUCUUCGUUUUGGCCCGGAUGAUAAUGACAGUACGGAGAAUAAGCUCCGGACUAACUCCGCGCCAG